CAGAGUAAAAGAAUACGCGUUAAGUGUGUGCUGUACGGGGAGUUGACAGCACGACGAAGGGCAGGCGUGCCUGCGAUUUUUCCUUCUUAUCC
RNAcentral lists this non-coding RNA (92 nucleotides) under uncultured Ruminococcus sp. RNAcentral describes it as "THF riboswitch". It matches the Rfam family "THF (Tetrahydrofolate) riboswitch aptamer". From Rfam's summary of the family: THF riboswitch presents a pseudoknot that joins P1-P2 and the loop of P3 and two THF binding. The record is from RNAcentral. Lineage: Bacteria; Bacillati; Bacillota; Clostridia; Eubacteriales; Oscillospiraceae.